Molecule: ribosomal RNA, 367 nt
Filed under: uncultured Pelotomaculum sp.
Lineage: Bacteria; Bacillati; Bacillota; Clostridia; Eubacteriales; Desulfotomaculaceae
Description: bacterial SSU rRNA
Rfam family: Bacterial small subunit ribosomal RNA
Source: RNAcentral
ACCUCGGGUGACAGGGAGACAGGUGGUGGCAUGGUGUCGGUCAGCUCGUGUCGUGAGAUGUUGGGUUAAGUCCCGCAACGAGCGCAACCCCUACGUUAGUUGCUAACGCGUGAAGGCGAGCACUCUAGACGAACUGCCGUUGACAAAACGGAGGAAGGUGGGGAUGACGUCAAAUCAUCAUGCCCCUUAUGUUCUGGGCUACACACGUGCUACAAUGGCCGGUACAGACGGACGCAAAGCCGCGAGGUGGAGCAAAUCCUAAAAAGCCGGUCUCAGUUCGGAUUGCAGGCUGCAAUUCGCCUGCAUGAAGUCGGAAUCGCUAGUAAUCGCAGGUCAGCAUACUGCGGUGAAUACGUUCCCGGGCCUU